This 339-nucleotide ribosomal RNA is filed under the name uncultured bacterium. RNAcentral describes it as "SSU rRNA". It matches the Rfam family "Bacterial small subunit ribosomal RNA", at positions 26 to 372 of the family's 1533-position model. The record is from RNAcentral.
AGAACGAACGCUGGCGGCGUGGAUAAGACAUGCAAGUCGAACGGAGCAUUCUGGUAGCAAUAUUAGGAUGCUUAGUGGCAAACGGGUGCGUAACACGUAGGUUACAUUCCGGAAAGUGUGGGAUAGCCCAGGGAAACUUGGAUUAAUACCGCAUGUGAUCGCAAGAUCAAAGGUGGCAACACCGCUUUCCGAUUGGCCUGCGCCCUAUCAGCUAGUUGGUGAGGUAAAAGCUCACCAAGGCAACGACGGGUAGCUGGUCUGAGAGGACGACCAGCCACACUGGAACUGAGACACGGUCCAGACACCUACGGGUGGCAGCAGUCGAGAAUCUUUCACAAU